Molecule: ribosomal RNA, 434 nt
Filed under: uncultured bacterium
Lineage: Bacteria
Description: partial 16S ribosomal RNA
Rfam family: Bacterial small subunit ribosomal RNA
Source: RNAcentral
ACGGGAGGCAGCAGUGGGGGAUAUUGCACAAUGGGGGCAACCCUGAUGCGGCGACGCCGCGUGAGUGAAGAAGUAUUUCGGUAUGUAAAGCUCUAUCAGCAGGGAAGAAAAUGACGGUACCUGACUAAGAAGCUCCGGCUAAAUACGUGCCAGCAGCCGCGGUACUACGUAUGGAGCAAGCGUUAUCCGGAUUUACUGGGUGUAAAGGGAGCGUAGACGGCGAGGCAAGUCUGAUGUGAAAGCCAUGGGCUCAACCCAUGAACUGCAUUGGAAACUGUCUUGCUUGAGUGUCGGAGAGGUAAGCGGAAUUCCUAGUGUAGCGGUGAAAUGCGUAGAUAUUAGGAGGAACACCAGUGGCGAAGUCGGCUUACUGGACGAUAACUGACGUUGAGGCUCGAAAGCGUGGGGAGCAAACAGGAUUAGAUACCCUGGUA